UAUGUUUUGUUGACUUGCGUUUGCCUCCAU
Molecule: non-coding RNA, 30 nt
Filed under: Mus musculus (house mouse)
Lineage: Eukaryota; Metazoa; Chordata; Mammalia; Rodentia; Muridae
Source: RNAcentral